This 259-nucleotide ribosomal RNA is filed under the name uncultured bacterium. Its description in RNAcentral is "partial small subunit ribosomal RNA". It matches the Rfam family "Bacterial small subunit ribosomal RNA", at positions 26 to 285 of the family's 1533-position model. The record is from RNAcentral.
AGGACGAACGCUGGCGGCGUGCUUAACACAUGCAAGUCGAGCGACGCUCCUCCUUCGGGAGGAUGACGGAGCGGCGAACGGGUGAGUAACACGUGGGCAACCUGCCCCUAGCUCUGGGAUAAGCCCGGGAAACCGGGUCUAAUACCGGAUAUGAGUUCGGAAGGCAUCUUCUGAUCUGGAAAGUUUUUUCGGCUAGGGAUGGGCCCGCGGCCUAUCAGCUUGUUGGUGAGGUAACGGCCCACCAAGGCGACGACGGGUA